UACGGGGGGAGCAAGCGUUGUUCGGAUUUACUGGGCGUAAAGGGCGCGUAGGCGGCCACCGCAAGUCGACUGUGAAAUCUCCGGGCUUAACCCGGAAAGGUCAGCCGAUACUGCGGGGCUAGAGUGCAGAAGGGGCAACUGGAAUUCUUGGUGUAGCGGUGAAAUGCGUAGAUAUCAAGAGGAACACCUGAGGUGAAGACGGGUUGCUAGGCUGACACUGACGCUGAGGCGCGAAAGCCAGGGGAGCAAACGGG
This 254-nucleotide ribosomal RNA is filed under the name uncultured bacterium. Its description in RNAcentral is "partial 16S ribosomal RNA". It matches the Rfam family "Bacterial small subunit ribosomal RNA", at positions 524 to 776 of the family's 1533-position model. The record is from RNAcentral.